This 404-nucleotide ribosomal RNA is filed under the name uncultured archaeon. RNAcentral describes it as "bacterial SSU rRNA". It matches the Rfam family "Archaeal small subunit ribosomal RNA", at positions 52 to 455 of the family's 1478-position model. The record is from RNAcentral.
UGCGAGUUUAGGGGCUCCUUCGGGAGCACCGGCGGACUGCUCAGUAACACGUGGACAACCUACCCUCGGGUGGGGGAUAACCUCGGGAAACUGAGGCUAAUACCCCAUAGGCCUCGGAUACUGGAAGGUUCCGAGACCGAAAGCUCCGGCGCCCGAGGAUGGGUCUGCGGCCUAUCAGGUAGUUGGUGGUGUAAAGGACCACCAAGCCUACGACGGGUACGGGCCCUGAGAGGGGGAGCCCGGAGAUGGACUCUGAGACACGAGUCCAGGCCCUACGGGGCGCAGCAGGCGCGAAACCUUCGCAAUGCGCGAAAGCGCGACGAGGGGAGCCCGAGUGCCCUUCCUUUCGGGAGGGCUUUUCUGGAGCCUAAAAAGCUCCAGGAAUAAGGGCUGGGCAAGACGGG